UGGUGAUACCGGAUCCCCGGCCUAUGGCGCCAGCGCAGCGCUGCCCUCUGUGCCGCCAGACCUUCUUCUGUGGUCGCGGGCACGUUUACAGCCGCAAGCACCAGCGGCAGCUGAAGGAGGCUUUGGAGAGGCUCCUGCCCCAGGUGGAGGCGGCCCGCAAGGCCAUCCGCGCCGCUCAGGUGGAGCGCUAUGUGCCCGAACACGAGCGAUGCUGCUGGUGCCUGUGCUGCGGCUGUGAGGUGCGGGAACACCUGAGCCAUGGAAACCUGACGGUGCUGUACGGGGGGCUGCUGGAGCAUCUGGCCAGCCCAGAGCACAAGAAAGCAACCAACAAAUUCUGGUGGGAGAACAAAGCUGAGGUCCAGAUGAAAGAGAAGUUUCUGGUCACUCCCCAGGAUUAUGCACGGUGAGUCACUGGUAUUGAACGUGAAGUAGCAGAGUGAAUUCUCUGGAUCUUUGUCGGGUAUGGGAGCUUACUCUAUUAACUGGAAAGUUCAGGAGGGACUUCCGAAGUAUCUGCUGUCUUCAUAGCACUUCUUAGUCUAUGUACUAUAUUGGACACAAAAAUGUGACAGUUCUUGAGGUUUA
RNAcentral lists this small RNA (588 nucleotides) under Pongo abelii (Sumatran orangutan). Its description in RNAcentral is "retained intron". The record is from RNAcentral. Lineage: Eukaryota; Metazoa; Chordata; Mammalia; Primates; Hominidae.